Molecule: transfer RNA, 73 nt
Filed under: Phytohabitans flavus
Lineage: Bacteria; Bacillati; Actinomycetota; Actinomycetes; Micromonosporales; Micromonosporaceae
Description: tRNA-Phe
Rfam family: tRNA
About the family: Transfer RNA (tRNA) molecules are approximately 80 nucleotides in length.
Source: RNAcentral
GCCCUCUUGGCGUAAUCGGUAGCGCACGCGGUUGAAGCCCGCGGGGUCCCUGUUCGACUCAGGGGGAGGGCGC